Molecule: ribosomal RNA, 406 nt
Filed under: uncultured bacterium
Lineage: Bacteria
Description: partial 16S ribosomal RNA
Rfam family: Bacterial small subunit ribosomal RNA
Source: RNAcentral
AUUGAACGCUGGCGGCAGGCCUAACACAUGCAAGUCGAGCGAGCGGCGGACGGGUGAGUAAUGUAGGGGGCCCUGCCCGAUAGCGGGGGAUAACUACUGGAAACGGCGGCUAAUACCGCAUACUAUCGGAUGAACCCAUAUGGGAUUAGCUAGUAGGUGGGGUAAAGGCUCACCUAGGCGACAAUCCAUAGCUGGUCUGAGCGGAUGAUCAGCCACACUGGAACUGAGACACGGCCCAGACUCCUACGAGAGGCAGCAGUGGGGAAUAUUGCACAAUGGGCGAAAGCCUGAUGCAGCCAUGCCGCGUGUAUGAAGAAGGCCUUAGGGUUGUAAAGCACUUUCAGCGGGGAGGCGUUACCCACAGAGGAAGCAACGGCUAACUCCGUGCCAGCAGCCGCGGUAAUAC